ACACUAAACAACCUAAACCAACAGAACACACAUACUCAAACAUACAAGACAAAACACAUAUUAACGCACACACAACACACUAAACACAACAUAACCGAACAUCACACUCACAACACAAGACAAAAUGCAACACACACUAACACAACAAAGACCUAAAACCGAACUGUUGGUCCCUAGCAACGGCGCCAAAAUUUGAUGGGUUUCACACCCCAUACAAAUUUAAUG
This 225-nucleotide long non-coding RNA is filed under the name Vigna radiata. Its description in RNAcentral is "long non-coding RNA (VRAD_LNC008733)". Lineage: Eukaryota; Viridiplantae; Streptophyta; Magnoliopsida; Fabales; Fabaceae. The record is from RNAcentral.